Molecule: ribosomal RNA, 536 nt
Filed under: Arthrobacter sp. AL22
Lineage: Bacteria; Bacillati; Actinomycetota; Actinomycetes; Micrococcales; Micrococcaceae
Description: bacterial SSU rRNA
Rfam family: Bacterial small subunit ribosomal RNA
Source: RNAcentral
GCUUGCUGGGGGGAUUAGUGGCGAACGGGUGAGUAACACGUGAGUAACCUGCCCUUGACUCUGGGAUAAGCCUGGGAAACUGGGUCUAAUACCGGAUAUGACUCCUCAUCGCAUGGUGGGGGGUGGAAAGCUUUUGUGGUUUUGGAUGGACUCGCGGCCUAUCAGCUUGUUGGUGGGGUAAUGGCCUACCAAGGCGACGACGGGUAGCCGGCCUGAGAGGGUGACCGGCCACACUGGGACUGAGACACGGCCCAGACUCCUACGGGAGGCAGCAGUGGGGAAUAUUGCACAAUGGGCGGAAGCCUGAUGCAGCGACGCCGCGUGAGGGAUGACGGCCUUCGGGUUGUAAACCUCUUUCAGUAGGGAAGAAGCCGCGAGGUGACGGUACCUGCAGAAGAAGCGCCGGCUAACUACGUGCCAGCAGCCGCGGUAAUACGUAGGGCGCAAGCGUUAUCCGGAAUUAUUGGGCGUAAAGAGCUCGUAGGCGGUUUGUCGCGUCUGCUGUGAAAGACCGGGGCUCAACUCCGGUUCUGCAG